RNAcentral lists this ribosomal RNA (774 nucleotides) under uncultured Neocallimastigales. RNAcentral's name for it is "partial large subunit ribosomal RNA". It matches the Rfam family "Eukaryotic large subunit ribosomal RNA", at positions 20 to 616 of the family's 3401-position model. Lineage: Eukaryota; Fungi; Neocallimastigomycota; Neocallimastigomycetes; Neocallimastigales. The record is from RNAcentral.
UACUAGAGUAGCACUCGCAUAUCAAUAAGCGGAGGAAAAGAAACUAACAAGGAUUCCCCUAGUAACGGCGAGUGAAGCGGGAAGAGCUCAAAUUUGAAAUCUUAAAGGGUUUCCCUUUACGAAUUGUAGUUUAAAGAAGUGUUUUCUGUUGAGGUUUUGGUAAAAGUUCUUUGGAAUAGGACAUCAUAGAGGGUGAGAAUCCCGUAUUUGACCUUUACUUUCAACUUUGUGAUACACUUUCAAAGAGUCGGAUUGUUUGGGAAUGCAGUCCAAAAUGGGUGGUAAAUUUCAUCUAAAGCUAAAUAUUGGCGAGAGACCGAUAGCGAACAAGUACCGUGAGGGAAAGAUGAAAAGAACUUUGAAAAGAGAGUUAAACAGUACGUGAAAUUGUCAAAAGGGAAGCGUUUGACACCAGUGUUGUUUUUCUGAAAAUCAAUUAAAGAACUGUUUAUGCUAAGUUGUUUAGACUUUAUCAGCUAUCUGUUUAGUUUUAGGCUUUUCUUUAAUGCACUUUUCAGUUAACAAGUCAACAUCAAUUUCUUUUGCUGUAAAAAAGCUUGAGGAAGGUGGCUUGAGAUUCGUCUUAAGUGUUUAUAGCCUCUUGCCUAUGCAGUCGGAGAGAUUGAGGUCUGCAGCGUAGAUCCUUCGGGGCUAAAUGCAUUUGUGCUAAGUUAUAGCAUUUUAUAGACAACUUGUUGACUAUGAUUUGUCUUGUAGCUUACUCGCUUAUGUUAUUUUACCUACGCUUAGGAUGUUGAGCGCAUGUCUCUCUCU